CUCCGGGGGCAAGAGGUUCGACUCGAGCGAAGCGAGAGAACGUUGCGUCAGCAACGGCCCGCAGGGCGAGCCACGUAGUGGCCGAGUCAUCCUCUAUCACCGGCAG
Molecule: non-coding RNA, 106 nt
Organism: Salmonella enterica subsp. enterica serovar Newport
Lineage: Bacteria; Pseudomonadati; Pseudomonadota; Gammaproteobacteria; Enterobacterales; Enterobacteriaceae
Source: Rfam